Molecule: unclassified non-coding RNA, 334 nt
Filed under: soil metagenome
Description: partial contains 5.8S ribosomal RNA, internal transcribed spacer 2, and large subunit ribosomal RNA
Rfam family: 5.8S ribosomal RNA (bases 1-120)
Source: RNAcentral
GAUGAAGAACGCAGCGAAAUGCGAUACGUAAUGUGAAUUGCAGAAUUCAGUGAAUCAUCGAAUCUUUGAACGCACAUUGCGCCUGCCAGCACUCUGGCAGGCAUGCCUGUUCGAGCGUCAUUUCAACCAUCAAGCCCUAGGCUUGCGUUGGAGCCCUGCGGCUGCCGUAGGCCCCUAAAAGCAGUGGCGGGCUCGCUAUCACACCGAGUGCAGUAGAUUACUCUUCGCUCAGGGCGUGUGGCGGGUUCCAGCCGUGAAACCCCCUACUUCUCAAGGUUGACCUCGGAUCAGGUAGGAAUACCCGCUGAACUUAAGCAUAUCAAUAAGCGGAGGA